This 66-nucleotide transfer RNA is filed under the name Maiestas dorsalis. RNAcentral describes it as "tRNA-Val". Lineage: Eukaryota; Metazoa; Arthropoda; Insecta; Hemiptera; Cicadellidae. The record is from RNAcentral.
CAGAUUGUAGCUUAUUUAAAGCUUUUUAUUUACAUUAAAACGAAAAUUUUAUUAAAUUUUAUCUGA